AGAGUUUGAUCCUGGCUCAGGACGAACGCUUGCGGCGUGCCUAAUGUAUGCAAGUCGAGCGGAGGUUAUUCCUUCGGGAGUAACUUCAGCUGGCGAACGGUUGAGUAACACGUAGGCAACCUGCCCCGAAGUGGGGGAUAACUCAUCGAAAGGUGGGCUAAUACCGCAUGUGGAACCGCCUCGCAUGAGGCGAGUUCCAAAGCAGCAAUGCGCUUCGGGAUGGGCCUGCGGCCUAUCAGCUUGUUGGUGGGGUAACGGCCUACCAAGGCUCCGACGGGUAGCUGGUCUGAGAGGAUGGUCAGCCAGACAGGGACUGAGACACGCGCCCUGACUCCUUUGGGGGGCAGCAAUGACGGAUAUUGCGCAAUGGGCGAAAGCCUGACGCAGCGACGCCGCGUGGGUGAUGAAGUCUUUCGGGAUGUAAAGCCCUUUUGUCGGGGACGAGAAUGGACUGGACCCGGCGAAUAAGCCCCCGGCUAACUACGUGCCAGCAGCCGCGGUA
Molecule: ribosomal RNA, 502 nt
Filed under: uncultured bacterium
Lineage: Bacteria
Description: bacterial SSU rRNA
Rfam family: Bacterial small subunit ribosomal RNA
Source: RNAcentral